This 305-nucleotide ribosomal RNA is filed under the name uncultured bacterium. RNAcentral describes it as "bacterial SSU rRNA". It matches the Rfam family "Bacterial small subunit ribosomal RNA", at positions 333 to 630 of the family's 1533-position model. The record is from RNAcentral.
GGUCACCUACGGGGGGCAGCAGUGGGGAAUUUUGGACAAUGGGCGCAAGCCUGAUCCAGCUAUUCCGCGUGUGGGAUGAAGGCCCUCGGGUUGUAAACCACUUUUGUAGAGAACGAAAAGACACCUUUUAAUAAAGGGUGUUGCUGACGGUACUCUAAGAAUAAGUACCGGCUAACUACGUGCCAGCAGCCGCGGUAAUACGUAGGGUGCGAGCGUUAAUCGGAAUUACUGGGUGUAAAGGGUGCGCAGGCGGUUGAGUAAGACAGAUGUGAAAUCCCCGAGCUUAACUCGGGAAUGGCAUAUGG